This 437-nucleotide ribosomal RNA is filed under the name uncultured bacterium. RNAcentral's name for it is "bacterial SSU rRNA". It matches the Rfam family "Bacterial small subunit ribosomal RNA", at positions 376 to 803 of the family's 1533-position model. The record is from RNAcentral.
CGAAAGGGUGACGAAGCGACGCCGCGUGUGGGAAGAAGGCCUUCGGGUUGUAAACCACUGUCGGGAGUUAGGAAAUGUAAGGGUGUUAAUAGCAUCCUUACUUGACUAAGGCUCCGGAGGAAGCCACGGCUAACUCUGUGCCAGCAGCCGCGGUAAUACAGAGGCGGCAAGCGUUGUUCGGAAUUAUUGGGCGUAAAGAGCACGUAGGCGGCUCUGCAAGUCAGCUGUGAAAGCCUUCUGCUUAACGGAAGAACAGCAGUUGAAACUACAGGGCUUGAGUGCGGGAGGGGAGAGUGGAACUUCUGGUGGAGCGGUGAAAUGCGUAGAUAUCAGAAGGAACGCCGGCGGCGAAAGCGGCUCUCUGGUCCGCAACUGACGCUGAGUGUGCGAAAGCUAGGGGAGCAAACGGGAUUAGAUACCCCGGUAGUCCUAGCCGU